GGCGAUGAUGCAUAGCCGAGUUGAGAGACUGAUCGGCCACAGUUGGGACUGAGACACCGGACCCAAACUCCUACGGGAGGCAGCAGGUAGGGAAUUUUCCACAAUGGACGCAAGUCUGAUGGAGCAACGCCGCGUGAGUGAAGAAGGUUUUCGGAUCGUAAAGCUCUGUUGUUGGUGAAGAAGGAUAGAGGUAGUAACUGGCCUUUAUUUGACGGUAAUCAACCAGAAAGUCACGGGCUAACUACGUGCCAGCAGCCGCGGUAAAU
Molecule: ribosomal RNA, 266 nt
Filed under: uncultured Lactobacillus sp.
Lineage: Bacteria; Bacillati; Bacillota; Bacilli; Lactobacillales; Lactobacillaceae
Description: partial 16S ribosomal RNA
Rfam family: Bacterial small subunit ribosomal RNA
Source: RNAcentral